This 524-nucleotide ribosomal RNA is filed under the name uncultured bacterium. RNAcentral's name for it is "bacterial SSU rRNA". It matches the Rfam family "Bacterial small subunit ribosomal RNA", at positions 501 to 1027 of the family's 1533-position model. The record is from RNAcentral.
CUACGUGCCAGCAGCCGCGGUAAUACGGGGGGUGCGAGCGUUAAUCGGAAUAACUGGGCGUAAAGGGCACGCAGGCGGUGACUUAAGUGAGAUGUGAAAGCCCCGAGCUUAACUUGGGAAUUGCAUUUCAUACUGGGUCGCUAGAGUACUUUAGGGAGGGGUAGAAUUCCACGUGUAGCGGUGAAAUGCGUAGAGAUGUGGAGGAAUACCGAAGGCGAAGGCAGCCCCUUGGGAAUGUACUGACGCUCAUGUGCGAAAGCGUGGGGAGCAAACAGGAUUAGAUACCCUGGUAGUCCACGCUGUAAACGAUGUCGAUUUGGGGAUUGGGCUUUGAGCUUGGUGCCCGUAGCUAACGUGAUAAAUCGACCGCCUGGGGAGUACGGCCGCAAGGUUAAAACUCAAAUGAAUUGACGGGGGCCCGCACAAGCGGUGGAGCAUGUGGUUUAAUUCGAUGCAACGCGAAGAACCUUACCUACUCUUGACAUCCAUGGAAUCUUGUAGAGAUAUGAGAGUGCUUCGGGAAC